This 21-nucleotide non-coding RNA is filed under the name Caenorhabditis elegans. Lineage: Eukaryota; Metazoa; Nematoda; Chromadorea; Rhabditida; Rhabditidae. The record is from RNAcentral.
UACGGUAGUUUUUAUGGGGAA